CUCCCCGCCCGCCCCGACCCGGGCCGCCCUCCGGGCCGCCCCCCGGGCUCACCUCGCCGCGGGGUGACUCAGGGCGGGGUUUUUCGGUUUCGGGGGGCACCGGCAGCCGGGGUGAGGUACACUUGUGGCAGGGAGGCUGCUUUUGGCCUCCCCGCGGCCGCCAGCAGUUUUUACGAGAAGUCUAAGCACAAAAGAGAAACGCGAGUGGCAGCCGUCGGAAGAACGGCUUGUGUUGAAACACGCCUGGAGACACGAACGAGCGUGCUCUUUGGGCUCAUGUGAGGACAGACCUCACCUCUGCUGAAAGCAUGCUGAAUUCACAUUGACUGGAUGGCAGAAACUGCAUCAAGAGAAACAGAUCAAGUUGGAAGUCAAAGUGAACAUAGGUAUUGCAAAAACAACUCAACCAGUUAGGGCUGCAAGUUCUGUUUAUAGUUUCCCAUGGACAAAAGACGUAGCCCAGGGCUGUGUCAUCUUGACAGCUAAC
Molecule: long non-coding RNA, 487 nt
Organism: Oxyura jamaicensis (ruddy duck)
Lineage: Eukaryota; Metazoa; Chordata; Aves; Anseriformes; Anatidae
Exons: 3
Source: RefSeq, a predicted model, not a curated record